This 608-nucleotide unclassified non-coding RNA is filed under the name Hevea brasiliensis (rubber tree). The record is from RNAcentral. Lineage: Eukaryota; Viridiplantae; Streptophyta; Magnoliopsida; Malpighiales; Euphorbiaceae.
CCAGUCCUGAAGCUGGUGUAAUCCAAAAGUUUAUAGCCAAGGAAGGGGACACUGUCGAACCAGGCAAUAAAGUUGCUAUCAUUUCAAAAUCUGGUGAGGGUGUGGAACAUGUUGCUCCAUCUGAGAAGUCCUCUGAGAAAGUAGCUCCUGCAGCUGAGGAUAAGAAAGAGGAAAAGGCAAAACCUCAAGUUGAGACAACUCCCGUCAAGGAGAAGCCUAAGGGAAGUUCACCUCCACCCCCUAAACGCUCUCCUACAGAGCUCCAACUUCCUCCCAAAGAACGGGAAAGACGAGUUCCCAUGACCAGGCUCAGAAAAAGAGUUGCCACACGUUUGAAAGAUUCUCAGAACACAUUUGCUUUGCUGACAACAUUCAAUGAAGUUGAUAUGACAAAUUUGAUGAAGCUCCGUUCUGAUUACAAAGAUGCCUUUUUUGAAAAGCAUGGAGUCAAGUUAGGAUUCAUGUCUGGAUUUGUGAAAGCAGCAGUUAGCGCACUCCAGAAUCAGCCAAUUGUUAAUGCUGUUAUCGAUGGUGAUGACAUCAUAUAUAGGGAUUAUAUAGACAUCAGUAUCGCUGUUGGUACACCAAAGGGUCUUGUUGUUCCAGUU